Molecule: unclassified non-coding RNA, 217 nt
Filed under: uncultured fungus
Lineage: Eukaryota; Fungi
Description: sequence contains ITS1
Source: RNAcentral
UUAUGUCAUUAAAUUUUGACUCAGACGUCACCGAUACGUGGAGUUUCGGGGGUCUCUGACGGGCGCUCGCCAGCCGAACGGCCAGCGGUGGCAGCGAGGCCACGGCCCGCCAAAGCAACAAAGGUAUGAUUCGCAAUGGGUGGGAGGUUGGUCCCCCGGGGUCACACCCGGGGGACGUUACUCGUUAAUGAUCCUUCCGCAGGUUCACCUACGGAAA